CCUACGGGGAGCUGCAGUGAGGAAUAUUGGUCAAUGGCCGGAAGGCUGAACCAGCCAAGUCGCGUGAGGGACGACUGCCCUAUGGGUUGUAAACCUCUUUUAUAAGGGAAGAAGAAAUGCUACGUGUAGCAUGAUGCCUGUACCUUAUGAAUAAGCAUCGGCUAACUCCGUGCCAGCAGCCGCGGUAAUACGGAGGAUGCGAGCGUUAUCCGGAUUUAUUGGGUUUAAAGGGUGCGUAGGCGGUUUUUUAAGGUCGUGGUUAAACGUCGGGGCUUCACCUUGAUUUGCCAUUCAGACUGUCAGCCUCGAGUUCAGGCGAGGUAUGCGGCAUCUGUUCCGUAGCGGU
This 346-nucleotide ribosomal RNA is filed under the name uncultured bacterium. Its description in RNAcentral is "partial 16S ribosomal RNA". It matches the Rfam family "Bacterial small subunit ribosomal RNA", at positions 338 to 682 of the family's 1533-position model. The record is from RNAcentral.